UUUCAGUAUAUUUUAGGGAAAAAAGACUUCGUGAUGUCAAAACCGCCGGUUAAAUAUUAAGAUUUUUGUUUUAGAGUGUCACUUCUUGGUGGGGGGUGCGCGGAAGGAGGAUUAUUAGAAGCUUUGAAAAAGUUUGGUUCUCAGGCCUGUGUGCGGAGUAAUGCGUGAUUGAUUAAGCAUUUAUUCAGUUUCGAACUCCAUAUAUAGGAGCAAUUAAACCUCCGACUCCAAGAGCUCAUUGUUUCCUGCCUGGAUUACUCCCAGGAGAUAGAGGUUCGAGACAAAUUUAGGCAUUUUUGUGUGGAAUUGGGAGGGCAGGAUAGAGCCGGUAAAAAAAAGGAGAAAACGGAGCACCCGGAAGAAACCCACGCGGUGACAGGGAAAACCACGUGAACCCAGCUCGCCUGUACUGUAAACAGUUGAGAGGCAUCGCCUUUUGAAGAUGGGGACGCUGGGGCCCAUGAUGGAGCUUGCUGAGAUUACAACAUUCUGCAUCUUGCUGUUCCGAUGCCGUGGCGGUGGCCCCUUCGUAUCAGACGGAGAUGCCAUGUCGAAUGCUCUCCAGGGUACAUCUGUAGAAAUUUGCUAGAGUGCUGCCUGACCCGCUGAUUCCCAACAGCUUCUUGCGUUUUACAUUAAAUUUAAACCCCCUUUGCAAAUCAUUCGGAGAUCAGACUCUUAAAAUGAUUUUUUUUUAAAAAAAACGUUGUCUUUAAGGCCGAACAAAAAUGUCCCCGCGAACUCCCAAGGUCGAAACGGGAGAUGAUUUAAUGAAAGUACAGAUCAGGAUAUAGGAAAAUAAACACAAUGGAUACUCAGCAAAUUGUAGUAUGAUAUGAAAGGGUAUAUUUUAUGUAUGCGUAGAUAUAUAAAUACAAUCUCAAUACCCAUUGUCCCUUGUUAAUUACACGUGUUCUUUGUUCCACUGGUUUAAUUUUGUUUCCAAAAGGCGUAGGAGAAGAAUUAGGCCAUUCAGCCCGUCGAGUCGGUUCCGCCAUUCUAUCCUGGCUGCAUUCUUAUCUGUCUCAACCCCAUUCUUCUGCCUUCUUCCGUAAUUUUUGACACCCUGACAAAUCAAGACCCUAUCAAUCUCCCGUUUAAAUAUACCCAGUGACCUGGCCUCCACGGCCGACUGUGGUAACGUUUAUAUUUAGUUUGCUUCAGGCGGGAGUGGUGACGCCGUUUCAUAAAUAGCUUCUUAAUUCUAACAAGUGCAUGAGAAUGUGGGGAUUUAGACCAUUUGUAGAAGGACAAUAGAUGAGUUUUUUCGCAUCUCUGGACGAAGUCAAAAGAUCGAGGCACUAGACCGGGGAGUUAGUUGUAAGGUGCGUUUAUAAUUCAGGUUAAUGGAGCUAAGAAAUUCAGUAUUUUCUUCCCAGUAAUUUUAAUUUACAUUUCAUUGUACUUUUAAAUGUCUGAAUAUCCUGCAUUUACUCCUGGUAAAUAAAUAAACCAAAUUUCCAAAUUUAACAUUGCAACCAAUAUUAUAAUUAAAGUCUAGCGAGUCAAAGAUCGGAAGAAGAUAUAUAUCCUACGAACUUACUCCUAAAACAUCCGAACGAAAUAAAUUAAUUUUGGUUAUAUUUAAUAAUUAUCGAAUAAAGUAUCACUCAAAUGUAGCUUCGGCAAGGAGUUAUGAAUCCGGUUUUCUCUCCAAGGGUACAGUCUACUGCCAUCCCACUUGAAGCUAUAAAUUAAUUGACAACGAGGGGAGGGGUUUCAUCAUCUCCGUACCUCCUUUCUAGGGAAAAUAUUUUAUUGACAACAAUUGUGUCAUCACGGCGCUGAAAGUAUUAACUACCGAAGGGCUAAACUCAAUUAACUUUGCCGAAGUUAACCUGAAUUUCUCAUCUAUUAAAUACUAAUGUUGUUGAAUGGAGUAAGGGUUCUUUUCUUGUCGUAAGUUAAACCGCCAGUUUGGUUGGUGUCUGUCUGAUCAUCAACCGCCCCCUCCCCCCGUCCCGCCCGUUAUCUCGAAUCCUAGAGCUAUCCUGAACUCGUUAAAAGCCCUGCAAAGUGUCCCAUUAUUUUGUCACCGAAACUACUUCCUUUCAUUAAAAAACGACUGCAUUCUGAGAUAAGAGGGUGGCUCCGAAUAGCCCAGGAUACUUUGACCGACGGAGAAGAGAAAUCUCAAUUUUAUUGAUCUAUUUUGUUUGGUCUGUUUGCGUUGAGAAGUGCUGGGGUGGAAAGCAUGCGCAGGAAACCUAGUUGCCUUCUGUUGUUCGCCAUUUGUAAUCUGGAAACCGUAACUCCAGCAAUUAUGUUGUUCCAAACACAUUGACAGACACCAAAUAAGGAGCAAAAGGGACAAAUAUCGUUCUUUAGAAGAAUGGGGGACGGGUGAAGUACAGCAGGAUUGCGGGCUGCGGCUCCGACUGCCGAAGCCUCAUUAUCUGUAAAAGCUUUGAAUUCUUUCAUUUCUGAUCUCUGCGUCGGUUUCAAAUUCUUUUCCCACCAGCAAGGUUUUUUUUAUUCUAACCUGGUCAGCACAGACUAGCUGGGCUGAAGGGCUGGUUUCUGUUCUGUAGUGCUCUGUGACUACAAUACUCUACACUUCUAAAACAACACUGAUUGCUUGGUCUUACAUCUGCAAUGUGGUUGGUCCAGAUUGUAGGUAAUGAAGGUACUUGGGAGAUAUUACUACAUUCAAGAUGUCCAACUCCAGUUAGGAAGGAGGCUUCAUAGCAUCCACUCCAGGACCACCAGACUCAAAGCAGUUACUUUCCCCAAGCAGCGAGACUGAUCAACACCUCCACCCACUAACCACCCCUAUUUUACCAUUGCAUAUCAACCACCCUAUGUGCAGACACUCCUGUGCCCAGCAUCGCUUUAUUGACAUCCAAUCAACCUUAUGUAUUUAUAUUUAUUGUUUUUUUUUUCAUUAUUUUGCUUCUUUUUGUGCUGCUUUGGAUCCGGAGUAACAAUUAGUUUGUUCUCCCUCACACUUGUGUUCUGGAAAUGUCAUUUUGGAUCUUGAAUGCUUCCUAAGUUCAAGUUGCUUGUUGUGUUCAACUAAUCUGGUAAGCUUAAGGGAAAUGGGGCGAGUAAUGUCUCUGAGAUGAAAGAGAAGUCAUGAGCUUACUGAGUGGGGAAGCACUGGCAAGGGAUCAAAUGCUUCCAGUUUCUAUUAUUUAUGCCUUGAAGUAAAGACUUCAUAGAAAACGAUCUCAGAAUAGAAGCCAUUGCUGUGAUCAACAGCCGUUCAUCACAAGAGAAGAUCUUCCCACCAUUGAGCACGUUUGCAAUGAGUGAUGCCACCCGAAAACAGGGUUCACCAUCAAGGAUCCCCGACCAUCUAGACCAUGCACUCUUCUCCCUGCUGCCAUCAGGAAGGAGGUACAGGAGCCUUAACUCCAACACCACCGGGUUCAGGAAUGCUUAUUACCCUUCAACCAUCAGGCUCCUGAACUGGCGCGGAUAACUUCAAUCACGUCAACAGUGAAUUGAAAACGCAACCUAUGGACUCACUUUCAAGGACUCUACAACACAUGUUCUCAGUAUCACUUAUUUACUACUUACUAUUAUUUGUGGUUUUUGUAUUUGCACAGUUUGACUUAUUUUGCACAUUAGUUAUUUAUCAGUCUUUGUGUUUAGUUUUUCAUUGAUUCAAUUAUAUUUCUUUGUUCGACUGUGAAUGCCCAAAAGGAAGUGAAUCUCAGUUUCUCGCUGAAUAAAAAUUUAUACCUUCCCCUUUGAUAUCAUUGCUGUGAUCCUCUCAAAAUGGAUGGUGUGCACUAAACUGGUGUGUAAUUACAAAAUCAGAAUUGGAUUUUCAAAGCCCAUUAUUAAUCAUUUAAAUCUCUCAGUGCACUUACACUAUGAAUGAGUUUGCAUUGAAUGACUUCCAAUCUAAUUAUGAAAAUUCACCCAGUCCUGGUGGUCAGUCUCCAGACAGCUAUGUCCCCUGAUGGGGAUGGUGUGGAAAUCUUGCACCAAGGAUUUAUCUCCCUGCUUAGGUAUGCAAACUGGGCAUAUGGUGACGUUUACAUAUCUUGAUAAUAAAUCUAUUUUGAGCUUUACUUUGAACUUUGGUAUCUAGCCAUCUGCAGGUUCUAAUGGAUCCCUAGGCCACCAUGAACAAGACAUGCAUUUCCUUAGAUAAGGCUCCCCAAACCCUUCUUGCUGUGACCACUUCCCUGAGGUUCCUAGAGUGAAAGGAUCAUAAAGUUAGGCAGCAUGGACCCAUGAUGUGUAACAAGUUUGUGUAUGAGAGAUUUGUUUUCCAUGAACCACACUCAGCAUAAUUAUAUGCAGCAAAUAAUAUAUUUUUGUUAUCUUUGCACCCUGUCAAAGUUUACCAUGACUGUCUUGUUGCCCAGUUUUCAAACCUAAGGCAGACUAUAAGACCAUAAGAUAUAGGAGCAGAAUUAGGUCAUUUGGCCCAUCGAGUCAUCUACUCCAUUUCAUUCAGGCUGAUCCAUUUUUCCUCUCAGCCCCAAUCUCCUGCCUUCUCUCCAUAUCCAUCCAUGCCUGACUAGUCAAGAAUCUAUCAACCUCUGCCUUAAAAAUUACCCAAUGACCUGGCCUCCACAACUGCCUGUGACAAUGAAUUCCACAGAUUCUCCACUCUCUGGCUAAAGAAGUCCCUCCUCAUCUCUGUUCGAAAAGGAUGCCCUCUACUCUGAGGUGGUGUCCUCUGAUCUUACACUUUCCCCACCGUAGGAAACAUCCUCUCCAAAUCCAUUCUAUCAAAGCCUUUCAACAUUCAAUAGGUUUCAAUGAGGUCACCCUCUUUCUUCUGAAUUCCAGUGAGUAUAGGCUUAGAGCCAUUAAUCAGUCCUCGUAUGACAAGCCUUUCAAUCCCAGAAUCAUCUUCAUUAUCCUCCUUUGAACCCUCUUCAAUGUCUGCACAUCCUUUCUUAGAUAAACUGCUCACAAUACACCCAAGUACUGUGUGACCAAUGCCUUAUAAAGCCUCAGCAUUACUUCCUUGCUUUUAUUUUCUAGACCUCUUGAAAUGAAUGCUAACAUUGCAUUUACGUUCUUUACAGUUGACUGAGACCUGCAAGUUAACUUUUAGGGAAUCCUACACAAAGACUUCCAAGUCCCUUUGCAACUCUGCUUUCUGAAUUUGCUCCCCAUACAGAUAAUAGUCUACACUUUAUUCCUUGUACCAAAGUGCAUGACCAUACAUUUCUGUACACAGUAUUCCAUCUGCCACUUCUUUGCUCAUAUUUCUAAUCUAUCUAAAUUCCUCUGCAGACUUCCUGCUUCCUCAACAAUACCUGUCCCUCUACCUAUCUUUGUAUUAUUUGCAAAUUUGACUAAUAAGCCACCAAUAAUUAAGAUAUUGAUAGUCAGUAUGUCAAUGAUAGGUCAUCCAAAUCAAUGGUCUAUUAUGUAAAAAGAAGUGGUCCCUGCAGAACACCACUAGUUACUUGUAGUCAACCAGAAAAGGCCUGCUUUAUUCCCACACUUUGCCUCCUGCUAGUAAGCCAAUCUGUUUUUGCUAGUGUCUUUCCUGUAAUACCAUGGGCUCUAAUCUUGUUUUGCAGCUUCAUGUGUGGCAUCUUGUCAAAGACCUUCUGAAAAUCCAAGAGGCAGAUUGACCCAUUCGAUUAAAUACUUCAAAUUCCGCCUGUGGCCUCAGACAACAGGGUGUGACUGAGAGGCAAUAAGGGGCAGCCCACAGUGCUGC
Molecule: long non-coding RNA, 5641 nt
Organism: Mobula hypostoma (lesser devil ray)
Lineage: Eukaryota; Metazoa; Chordata; Chondrichthyes; Myliobatiformes; Myliobatidae
Exons: 3
Source: RefSeq, a predicted model, not a curated record